RNAcentral lists this ribosomal RNA (253 nucleotides) under uncultured bacterium. RNAcentral's name for it is "partial 16S ribosomal RNA". It matches the Rfam family "Bacterial small subunit ribosomal RNA", at positions 524 to 776 of the family's 1533-position model. The record is from RNAcentral.
GACGUAGGGGGCAAGCGUUGUUCGGAAUUACUGGGCGUAAAGGGCUUGUAGGCGGCCAACUAAGUCAGACGUGAAAUCCCUCGGCUUAACCGGGGAACUGCGUCUGAUACUGGAUGGCUUGAGUUCGGGAGAGGGAUGCGGAAUUCCAGGUGUAGCGGUGAAAUGCGUAGAUAUCUGGAGGAACACCGGUGGCGAAGGCGGCAUCCUGGACCGACACUGACGCUGAAAAGCGAAAGCCAGGGGAGCAAACGGG